GAUGAAGAACGUAGCGAAAUGCGAUAAGUAAUGCGAAUUGCAGAAUUUCCGUGAGUCAUCGAAUCUUUGAACGCACAUUGCGCCCACUGGUAUUCCGGUGGGCAUGCCUGUUCGAGCGUCAUUAUCCUCCCUCAAACCCCGGGUUUGGUGUUGGACCCAAGUUGUGUGAACAACUGGUCUUAAAGACAAUGACGGCGUCCGUGGGACCCUCGGUGCAACGAGCUUUUAGGAGCACGCAUCGAGUUGCAAGGACCUUCCGGGCCGGUCUCCUUUACUAUUUUACAAGGUUGAUCUCGGAUCAGGUAGGAAUACCCGCUGAACUUAAGCAUAUCAAUAAGCGGAGGA
Molecule: unclassified non-coding RNA, 345 nt
Filed under: soil metagenome
Description: partial contains 5.8S ribosomal RNA, internal transcribed spacer 2, and large subunit ribosomal RNA
Rfam family: 5.8S ribosomal RNA (bases 1-121)
Source: RNAcentral